AGGACGAACGCUUGCGGCGUGCCUAAGAAAUGCAAGUCGAGCGGGGGAGCAAUCCCUAGCGGCGAACGGUCGCGUAACACGUAGGCAACCUGCCCGAGAGACCGGGACAACACUCCGAAAGGGGUGCUAAUACCGGAUGUGGCCGGCGGAAGACCUCUUCUGCCGAUUAAACCCCGUAAGGGGCUCUUGGAGGGGCCUGCGGCCUAUCAGCUAGAUGGUGGGGUAACGGCCUACCAUGGCGACGACGGGUAGCUGGUCUGAGAGGAUGGUCAGCCGGAUUGGGACUGAGAUACGGCCCAGACUCCUACGGGGGGCAGCAAUUAGGAAUCUUGCGCAAUGGGGGCAACCCUGACGCAGCGACGCCGCGUGGAGGAGGAAGGCCUUCGGGUUGUAAACUCCUUUUGGGUGGAAGAACAAAUGACGGUACCACCGAAUAAGCCCGGCUAACUCCGUGCCAGCAGCCGC
Molecule: ribosomal RNA, 465 nt
Filed under: uncultured bacterium
Lineage: Bacteria
Description: SSU rRNA
Rfam family: Bacterial small subunit ribosomal RNA
Source: RNAcentral